CCUGGCCGAAACCAACUGGGCCAGUCGGCCUGGGCUAAACCAACUGGGCUUUAGUCGGCUUGGGCCAGGCCGACUGCCUAGUGGGGGCCCCGCGGGCUGAGCAGGCGACCUGGCCGAGGCUGACUGGGACUAAGCGGCUUGGGUCAGG
This is a non-coding RNA of Brachypodium distachyon (stiff brome), 148 nucleotides long. NCBI's taxonomy places the organism in Eukaryota, Viridiplantae, Streptophyta, Magnoliopsida, Poales, Poaceae. The record is from RefSeq and is marked provisional.